AUUGAACGCUGGCGGCAGGCCUAACACAUGCAAGUCGAGCGGAUGAAGGGAGCUUGCUCCUCGCUUCAGCGGCGGACGGGUGAGUAAUGCCUAGGAAGCUGCCUGGUAGUGGGGGAUAACGUCCGGAAACGGGCGCUAAUACCGCAUACGUCCUGAGGGAGAAAGUGGGGGAUCUUCGGACCUCACGCCAUCAGAUGAGCCUAGGUCGGAUUAGCUAGUUGGUGUGGUAAAGGCGUACCAAGGCGACGAUCCGUAACUGCUCUGAGAGGAUGAUCAGUCACACUGGAACUGAGACACGGUCCAGACUCCUACGGGAGGCAGCAGUGGGGAAUAUUGGACAAUGGGCGAAAGCCUGAUCCAGCCAUGCCGCGUGUGUGAAGAAGGUCUUCGGAUUGUAAAGCACUUUAAGUUGGGAGGAAGGAAAGUGAGUGAAUCUCUUGCUGUUUUGACGUUACCAACAGAAUAAGCCCCGGCUAACUUCGUG
This 484-nucleotide ribosomal RNA is filed under the name uncultured bacterium. RNAcentral describes it as "partial 16S ribosomal RNA". It matches the Rfam family "Bacterial small subunit ribosomal RNA", at positions 30 to 507 of the family's 1533-position model. The record is from RNAcentral.